CAGCCCCGCCAGGCGCCCGCUUGCCGGCGCUGUGCCCCGCCUGAGCUCCGGGCCGCCUCUCCCGCCGCCCGACUUCGUGUCCCCACGGCUCCACGCGCCCCUCGUCACGGUCAGCUGCGGUUUCCGAGCCGCCCCCGAACCAAGCAGUUGACUUGCAGGCGUCCGCCAAGGCCUCCCCAAGGUGGCGCCACACCCAGGAUAGGCCCCCGGGCCCUCCGCAGCGCUGGCGCCGAGUUGAUGAUGUAAAAGGUUCAGGCUCGCGGGGCGGGGCUAUUGGACCUCACCACCGGACUCUAGUGGCUGCGGGAGCGUUUCUCUUUUCUCCUAGCGCCGCGGACGAGAUUUGUGGCGCCAGAAACACCCUGCGGAAGGAGCCGGGGAUAUCAACUAGUGAUAGAGGAGAGGAAACUGAGGCCACGGGCGGGUCCUACGAAAAGGGUUAAUAAAAUCAAUGUAAAUGAAUAUCAGUUCCCUUUUAUUCUUCACAAAAGAGCUGAGUGAGAACUGGAUGUUACUGUAGGGAUCGUGAGGAAAUGGAGGCCCAGAGGGGUUUUGGCAACCCUGAAAUAUUAAAAGGUCGGCAGUAACUCGGGAAACUCUCCAAUCUCUAUGUCUUCUCCUUCAGGUUGUUAUUUUUGCCUGAGAAAUGUGGACUGGGAACAAAAUCAAGGAGUGGAAGAGUCAGAACCUUGUAACUCAGUGAGAGAGACACCAAACUAGCUAGACUAAGCAUUGGGAGCCAGUAAUGUCACCAGCAUUACUCCCUGAGGAAGCAGUUACCUAGCACAGUACCUAGCCUAUGAUAAGUGCUACUUAAGACUUCCUGAAACAAAGAAUAGAUAAAUGAAUGGAAAAAAGUUGGCUUGGGCAGUUCCCAAAUCUUGUCAGAGAAGCAGUGAACCGAAGGCUAUGAAUUUGUUCAGUCUGAACUGCUGGAGGGAGACUCUUGGCGCUGGGAUGUACAAGGAAUCCUGUUUCCCAAAGUAGAUGCAAGUGCCAUGAGGACAGGGACAGACGUUUCAGUUGACCUGGUGCCACCGCGCACCACCUUAAGCCUAAGAAGCUGCAGAGAAGAUGGGAGAACAGGGGCGAGCUCAAAGCUCUGCCCUUUGCUGCUCGGUUCACGUGUAAUGGCACUGUUGCUGCUGCUCAUCAUCAAAGCUAAAAUACAGAAUCAUUUCUUGAAGCAACGUCAACUGGAAUAUCCCAUUACUGCUGACUGGUCAUAAAAUCCUUGUCUCCUCAAUGAGCCAUUGGAGCUUCCCUGGUGGCACAGUGGUUAAGAAUCCGCCUGCCAGUGCAGGAGACAUGGGUUCAAGCCCUGAUCCAGGAUGAUCCCACAUGCCACGGAGCAACUAAGCCCGUGCGCCACAACUACUGAGCCUGCGCUCUAGAGCCCGCAAGCCACAACUACUGAAGCCCACAUGACUAGAGCCCGUGCUUCACAACAAGAGAAGCCACCACAAUGAGAAGCCCACGCACCACAACAAAGAGUAGCCCCCACUUGCUGCAACCAGAGAAAAGCCCACGUGCAGCAACAAAGACCCAACACAGCCAAAAAUAAAAUAAUUUUUUUAAAAAAAUUAAAAAUAAAUAAAUUACAGCCAUCCUAGUGGGUGUGCCAUAGGUGCUAAGCUUUUAAGACCAGUGUUUACAUAGAUGUGGGCCCUCAGCUCUGGUCUCCUGCUCUUGUUACAGCUUGGUAAGGAGCCCCAGUCAUCCAUCUGCUUGCCCAAGAACAGCUGCAUGGGCAUAUGCACCGGAGGGAAGUUUCAUCUGGAGGAGAGGGGGAAGGACAUCUCCAUCUGCUAUACCACACCCUGACCCAGGAGGAACUAAGCCCGGCACCCCAAUUCUGGGAUGUGAGUAGUGGAUUCCAGAAGACCCUGGCUUGGGGAUCUCUACCUGGGUUGCGAGAGGCUGCUGGGAGGCACUUACCACACGGUGCCAGCCUGGAGGGCUUGGGACAGAUAAUUGGCCUUGUCCAAGUCCUUUGUGAAGACAGCUGCAGCCAGCCCGUACUUGGAAUUGUUGGCUCUCCCAACGACUUCCUCUAUGGUCUUGAACUUCAGAAUCUGCAUCACUGGCCCAAAGAUCUGGGGUUAGAGAGCACAAUGGGUGGGUGGGGCAGACACGGAACCACCUGUUACCCAGCUUUCCACAGCACUGAGCAGAUGAUUCCAGAUGUGGUAGCAAGCCUCCAGACACACCCUAACAGUUCCAGAGGGAGAAGACAGCUCUCACACUCACUGGAAUACAAAGGGAAGGAAGCUAAGGGGACUGGUUACCUUCUGUGUGCCAUGGACCUUACAUACCUUAUCUUAUUUCUAAACAGUCCUGUGAGGUAGGGGCUUGCACUGACAGGUCACGUGGAAAUUUAGUUUCAAAGAAUUUCAGUCAGUCAUUCAACAAGGCACACACUAGAUGCUGAAGAAAAAGCUAUGAACAAAAUAGGGUCUCUGAUCUCAAGAUGUUCUGAGUUUAUCUUAUACCUUCCCUGCCCUAUUUCUGAGCCAUUUCUUCAAGGCAUCCUGGUUCCUUUUAGUGGGCUUUAGUGGGCUUCAGAAACCAAAACAUGGGAGCUAGGCGUGCUUGUUGCGGUUGGGGUGUGGCUGCUCUCAGCCCUAUCAGGGGAGAGACCCCGGGGAACAGAUCCUGAUGUAAUCAAGUGAUUGGCAUGUGACUGUGACAAGUGGUGGGAGCCCAGAGGAGCUACUUGGCCUGAGUGAUGGGAGGCAGGGGAUCAGGGAAGGCCUCGAGAGGUGACAGUCAAGCUGUGACACCACACGAGCAGAAACUGGCCAAACCAGAGUGAGGAUGAGGAGCAGGGAGGAGGGAAAUGGAGUUCCAGUCACCGGCACACGCAGCACCCAUUCUUACAACAUCCCAUUCUCGACUAAAGAAACUAGGACUUCUUGAAGAAAUCACUGAUUCUAGGACUGGGUGGAGAGUGUCAAGACGGAGGUGCGAGAAGACUGCCAGGAGCCCAUCAUGGUUGGAGCGAGGACUGCGAGACGGGGCAUCUUGCACUUCGGGCACUAGCAAAGCAAAGGCAGCCCCUGCCCUUCUAGAAAAUGGAUAUUUUCCAUUUCCAUCAAGAUUAAAAAAAAAAAAUAGCAUCGAAGUAGUCAUGAUGGGAAAAGAGGCAGAACUCUGUUGUACUCUCUUACCCUGAUUUUGCAUUUUAAUAUUAUUUUAUUUUGAAUUAUCCAUGAAAGGGGGUGGCAGUAUAAUGUUUUCCCUGCAUAGGGACGCUAAAGGGCUUCAUCCUGCUGGGGGAAGUGGAGUGAGUCUGAAUCCACAAGGGCAGAGUACACAUGUCGGAUACCCCUGGAUCUCCAGUGUCUGUAGAGCACCUUGCACAUAGUAGGAAUUCAAAAAUUAUUUGUGGUAAGGGAUAUGGAGAUAUAUAUAUACGUAUAGCUGAUUUACUUUGUUAUAGAGCAGAAACUAACACACCAUUGUAAAGCAAUUAUACUCCAAUAAAGAUGUUAAAAAAAAAAUUUUGUGAAAUGAACGAAUGAAUGAGAUGGAGUUGCUGCCCUACGUUCGUAAUCAGUGCCAAGGGGGAGAGAAGAUCAAGGGACUCUCGCCAUGUGGGGAAGUCAGCCCUUUGAUCUAGUCCAGUGUCUGCUUACACGAAGGCCAUGAGAAGGGCUGGGAAGAGUCAUUCCUUUAACUCACAGCUCGCAGGGAGCAGAACACAAAGGACCUGUAGGCUCUGCUGGGGAAUUCAGACGUUCUCCCCAACCACUGGCAGCCAUAAGAGACUGAAGAGGAGAGGCACAAGAUCAGAAGUGAAUUGCAAAUCAUUUGUCUUAUGCAUAGAGCCAGGAUUUGGCCCAAGGCCAGCG
Molecule: long non-coding RNA, 3854 nt
Organism: Globicephala melas (long-finned pilot whale)
Lineage: Eukaryota; Metazoa; Chordata; Mammalia; Artiodactyla; Delphinidae
Source: RefSeq, a predicted model, not a curated record